This 209-nucleotide long non-coding RNA is filed under the name Mytilus galloprovincialis (Mediterranean mussel). Lineage: Eukaryota; Metazoa; Mollusca; Bivalvia; Mytilida; Mytilidae. The record is from RNAcentral.
GAAUAACUCUUACGCAUUCUAAUCUCUCGAAUUUCUCUUGUAUGCUAUUCAAAAGCGGGUCUCUAUCAAGCUGCUCAGUGUCAAGAAAAUUGUACCACUACUCGUUGCAUUAUCUAUUUAAUAUUUUUUUACGAGAAAAUUAGUAUGGCAUCUUUGUUACUGGUAAAGAACACAAAUAUUGAAUUGUUAGACAAUUAUACGGAGAAGGA